This is an RNA transcript of Carlito syrichta (Philippine tarsier), 2295 nucleotides long. It is a transcript of the gene named heterogeneous nuclear ribonucleoprotein M pseudogene, with no coding region annotated. The record is from RefSeq and is a predicted model, not a curated record. The transcript has a single exon. Lineage: Eukaryota; Metazoa; Chordata; Mammalia; Primates; Tarsiidae.
AGCCCAGACGCGGAGAAAAUGGUGGCAGGGGUCGAAGCUGUGGCCGAGGUAGCAGCGACGGAGAUCAAAAUGGAGGAGGAGAGCGGCGCGCCCGGCGUGCCGAGUGGCAACACAGCUCCGGGCCCUAAGAGUGAAGGAGAACGUCCUGCUCAGAGUGAGAAGAGGAAGGAGAAAAACAUAAAAAGAGGAGGCAAUUGCUUUGAGCCGUAUGCCAAUCCAACUAAAAGAUACAGAGCCUUCAUUACAAAUAUCCCUUUUGAUAUGAAAUGGCAGUCACUUAAAGACCUGGUUAAAGAAAAAGUUGGUGAGGUAACAUAUGUGGAGCUCUUAACGGACGCUGAAGGAAAGUCAGGGGAUGUGCUGUUGUUGAAUUCAAGAUGGAAGAGAGCAUGGAAAAAGCUGCGGAAGUCCUAAACAAGCAUAGUCUGAGUGGAAGACCACUGAAAGUCAAAGAAGAUCCUGAUGGUGAACAUGCCAGGAGAGCAAUGCAAAAGGCUGGAAGACUUGGAAUCACAGUAUUUGUAGCAAAUCUGGAUUAUAAAGUUGUCUGGAAGAAACUGAAGGAAGUAUUUAGUAUGGCUGGUGUGGUGGUCUGAGCAGACAUUCUUGAGGAUAAAGAUGGAAAAUGUCGUGGAAUAGGCACUGUUACUUUUGAACAGUCCAUUGAAGCUGUGCAAGCUAUAUCAAUGUUCAAUGGCCAGCUGCUAUUUGAUAGACCGAUGCACAUCAAAAUGGAUGAAAGGGCAUUACCAAAGGGAGAUUUUUUCCCUCCUGAGCGUCCACAACAACUUCCUCAUGGCCUUGGUGGUAUUGGCAUGGGAUUAGGACCAGGAGGGCAACCUAUUGAUGCCAGUCACCUGAAUAAAGGCAUUGGAAUGGGAAACAUAGGGCCAGCAGGAAUGGGAAUGGAAGGCAUAGGAUUUGGAAUAAAUAAAAUGGGAGGCAUGGAGGGACCCUUUGGUGGUGGUAUGGAAAACAUGGGUCGAUUUGGAUCUGGGAUAAACAUGGACAGGAUAAAUGAAAUCCUAAAUAAUGCACUGAAGAGAGGAGAGAUCAUUGCAAAGCAGGGGGGAGGUGGAGGUGGAGGCAGUGUCCCCAGCAUCGAGAGGAUGGGCCUGGCAUUGACCGCAUUGGGGGUGCCGGGCAUGGAGCGCAUGGGCGCAGGCCUGGGCCAUGGCAUGGAUGGCGUGGGCUCUGAGAUUGAGCGCAUGGGCCUCGUCAUGGACGGCAUGGGCUCCGUGGAGCGCAUGGGCUCCGGCAUCCAGCGCAUGGGCCCACUGGGCCUUGACCACAUGGCCUCUAGCAUCCCGCGCAUGGGUCAGACCAUGGAGCGCAUCGGCUCCAGUGUGGAGCACAUGGGCGCCAGCAUGGGCUUCGGCCUGGAGCGCAUGGCCUCCCCCAUCAACCGCGUGGGCCAAACCAUUGAGCACAUGGGCUCUGGUGUGGAGCGCAUGGGCCCUGACAUUGAGCACAUGGGCCUGAGCAUGGAGCGCAUGGUGCCCGCAGGUAUGGGAGUUGGCCUGGAGCGCUUGGGCCCUGUUAUGGAUCGCAUGGCCACCGGCCUGGAGCGCAUGGGCGCCAACAGUCUGGAGCGGAUGGGCCUGGAGCGCAUGGGCCUGGCCAUGGGCCCGGCCCCAGGCGCUGGCAUUGAGUGCAUGGGCCUGGCCAUGGGCGGUGGUGGCGGUGCCAGCUUUGACCACGCCAUUGAGAUGGAGCGUGGCAACUUUGGAGGAAGCUUCGCAGGUUCCUUUGGUGGAGCUGGAGGCCAUGUUCCUGGGGUGGCCAGGAAGGCCUACCAGAUAUUUGUGAGAAAUCUUCCAUUUGAUUUUACAUGGAGGAUGCUAAAGGACAAAUUCAACGAAUGUGGCCACGUGCUGUAUGCCGACAUCAAGAUGGAGAACGGGAAGUCCAAGGGGUGUGGUGUGGUGAAGUUUGAGUCACCAGAGGUGGCUGAGCGAGCCUGCCGGAUGAUGAAUGGCAUGAAGCUGAGUGGCCGGGAGAUUGAUGUUUGAAUUGAUAGAAAUGCUUAAGCAGUUGCCUUUUUUAACAUCGAUACCAGACCUCUGAAUUUGUAUUUUUUCUUGUUAACCAUUUUAAUUUGUUGGCUGGAUGUAUAAAGAUGUUUAAAAAAUUCAGUUGCUUUUUGGGGUAAUUUGAAUUACUUUUUUAAUGACUGGGAUUCCAUUUGACUGUUUGCAUUGAGAUUGCAAUGUGCGCAAUUUUUUUGUAGUUGUGGCAUCUUGUUGACAUCGAAUAUGACUUUGAUAAUAAAUACCAGUUCCUGAAAAAAAAAAA